This 2562-nucleotide long non-coding RNA is filed under the name Daphnia pulicaria. Its description in RNAcentral is "uncharacterized LOC124350550". Lineage: Eukaryota; Metazoa; Arthropoda; Branchiopoda; Diplostraca; Daphniidae. The record is from RNAcentral.
ACAAUGGUUGUGCUAAUUGUAAUAAAAGCUAAUAAUUAAUUACUCUUUUAGUUGAAACUUAAAACUCUUCUGUAAAAAGUAAAAAAAAAUCAUUGGCAAACAAAAAUCAGUGGACAUAUUGUGUUUGUUGAAACACUGGACUGGAAAACAAUAUAGUUAUGAAUUAUAACCAUUCCUGUCGUUGUCAUUCAUCUUUCAAGUUUUAUACGUAAAGCGCGUAAAGUUUGGAAUAUCAUAAUUCAUAUGUGACUAGUAGAUGGCGCCAGCGUCGCACAGUGUAUUAAGUAGCAGUCGACGAAAGUUUCGAUAGAUGAGCAAUGGCUGACAAAUUUUUGCCAAGCUCUGAUGUGUGUUAUCGCUUAUCCGUUUGAUAUCUUUUAUAACAAGGCUCAUUGCUGUUUGAAAGACUUUAUUAGUUGAUUUUUAGUCAACAUUGUUACAGUUUUUAUUUUUUACCUUAAUCUUUCAUGCUUAUUUCUCAUGUAUCUAACAGUCCAUUCUCAGUCUCUCAGAGUCUGGUAAGCACUUCGUAGUCUGUGGUUAGGGUUUCGAUGGGUGUUAUUAGCGCCAAAAGUGAAAACUGAAAUAGAAAUCUCUGGUUCAAUUGACUUAAGUAUGUGGCUUCCCAGAUCCAGGCCAGUCAAGUUAUGUGAAAACUCCAUAAUUGACGGCAGCUCUGUACAUGUGGCUAAUAAUGAAGCUGAAGCCUACCACAAAGAAGCAAAAGAAGAAAUUUCCAGUUCAGUCGACUCAGAUAUGGUGUACAGACUGUCAUUAAGUUCUGGUGUCCAAACUCUUGAAAAGUUGACAACAGCUUAUAGAUGGACUGAUGAAGGCUACAAGAAAAUGAGUUGUCUCCGCGAGAAUUAAUUCGUACGGAGCUCGUCGCGGAAACGAUGAAAUCAUGGCUCGUGGAACUUUUGCAAACAUUCGUCUAAUUAAUAAUUUAGUGUCCAAACCUGGUCUUAUCUGAUGAAAAAUUCGAUCGCUAGUUGACCCAACUUUAACAAACUGAAAAGUUUCUGGACGAAGAAAUUGCUGGCAUGGAUAGUGAAAUGAUGGAACUUCAGCAGAAGGCACGCACACUUUUGAAGGAGGAUUCCCACGAAAGAUGCAUUGCGUCAACGCAAACAAAUAGAAUUGAUGUGUAACCAGCAAACAGUUCUUAUCUAAAAUCUACGAUGAAAUUCAGGUUAUACAAGAGGCCUACAAAAUUGGCCUUUCUGAAUCAAAUGAUUUGUCUAGCGAUCCUUCGAAGAAAGAAGAAAAUAUUCUCUACGCCGAACUGAAGACGGAGUUUAAGCAACAGGAAGAAACCUGGAAUAUCUUCCCACUGAUUACUGUUCAAGAAGACGAAUCCCGAAUUGGAAGAGGAAUUGAAAAAUGUUGUAGCUGAAAGUGCGCGAAUCAUGUUUGUUGGAACAUUGAAAACAAAAAUAUUGUUGUUAUCAUUUUGUUUUUGUUAUUGUCAUUAUUCAACUUUUAAGUUUUAAUUAUACAGGCAUCAUUGCCUUAAUUAAUUUGAUUAACUGAUUGCAUGGAGCUAAAGGCUUAAAGUUUGGAAUAUUAUCAUAUCAUAUGCGACUAGUAGUCGUAGACUUUGACUCAUAUGCGCCCAUUUACAUUUGACUGUGUCCUACUGUAAACUUAGUCUUAGGUUUGCAAUUAAUUAAACAUUCAGAUGCAGGUUUUGCUUUAGAAAUAAUGGUGUUAUAUGAGGUGUUUCCUUUUUCGAAUGUAAUAUUUUCUACUUUUUCUUUUACUUAUGAAAUCUCCAGUUUAAUUGACUCAAGUAUAUAGAUGCCCAAAUCCAGGCCAGUUGAGCUAUGUGAAAACUCCCAUUGACGACAGUUUUAUCCAUUGCUGUUAGAUGAACGCAAGGUGUAACAAAAAAAACUUUGGAGUUCUUCUAUCUUUAGAGUUCUACUGUCAGCAACCCAUGGCUAUUACCUCCGGUCUAUCCUUCCGGUCAUCAAUCGAUUCAGGAAAGAUAUUCUCAUUUUCGAAUGUGUAACUAACUUAAGAUUCAAAACUCAUUACUUGAUGUCGCCACUGUCGCUCUUGUUGUUCCUACGUCCCCUACCGCCCUACGUCAUGAAACGAGACGAAAUGGGCAAAACAAAUUGUUGCUAAUUAUACUUAUAUUCCUGUGAUUUCAAAUACCAAAUUGAAUUCGUAUCAUUAUAUGUAGGCUAAGGCCUAUAGCUACUGUCAGUCAUCCCAACAAGUUCACUUAGCGCUCAGUCACUUUUUAUUCCUCAUGCUGUCAAAAGCCUUAAACUCAUGUUUGAAGCCCACAUAUAGAGUAAUACAAAUGUGCGGAAAUAAGGUAUUUUCCCAUUACUGCUACCAUACCAAUCACACUAUGUCAAAUGCCUUACUAAAUCAUCACCCAUACGAUAAAGCGUCAGGAAAUUUAUCUCAACUUGAGGAAUAAUGCUGUUGAUUGCUGUAAUUCAAUUAUUACCGUUUGUCAUCAUGAACAUUUCGGUGUGCUUCUUAGAAAAGAGCACGCAGUUUCUUUAUGGAUAUGUGUGGUCCUGGCAUGGAGAUUCUUGUGCC